RNAcentral lists this long non-coding RNA (347 nucleotides) under Nicotiana benthamiana. RNAcentral's name for it is "long non-coding RNA (NBEN_LNC005446)". Lineage: Eukaryota; Viridiplantae; Streptophyta; Magnoliopsida; Solanales; Solanaceae. The record is from RNAcentral.
ACAUAAUAUCUAUCUUGAUCAUAUGGAUCUUGCACAUAGAAGCAUUGGUGUACUUGAGAUGCUAGGACAAAAGGCUCAUUCUGAUAACAUUUCUUGUUGAAGUAGACAUAAAUAAGGCCAUAAAUAUCUUCUUCAACCUCAUACCAGUCACACUUAAAUAAGACAAUCCUAAAAUAUCCACAAUAGUCUAACUCAACUAUAUCAACUAAUCUAUCAUAAUAAGUCAAAUUUGCGUCAACUGGAUUUUUAUCUUUUGAGCUUGCAAAACUUGUAGUUUGAUCUAUUAUUGUAACAUCACUAUUUUGUGUUUUACGUCUUGCAUCACACUGCCUCACAUAGAAUCUAUA